RNAcentral lists this ribosomal RNA (207 nucleotides) under uncultured bacterium. RNAcentral describes it as "partial 16S ribosomal RNA". It matches the Rfam family "Bacterial small subunit ribosomal RNA", at positions 568 to 774 of the family's 1533-position model. The record is from RNAcentral.
CACGUAGGCGGACUGGUCAGUUGGGAGUGAAAUCCCAGGGCUCAACCCUGGAACUGCCUCCAAUACUGCCAGUCUUGAGUCCGAGAGAGGUGAGUGGAAUUCCUAGUGUAGAGGUGAAAUUCGUAGAUAUUAGGAAGAACACCAGUGGCGAAGGCGGCUCACUGGCUCGGUACUGACGCUGAGGUGCGAAAGCGUGGGGAGCAAACA